CUACCUGCAGUCGAGCGGAUGAAGGGAGCUUGCUCCUGGAUUCAGCGGCGGACGGGUGAGUAAUGCCUAGGAAUCUGCCUGGUAGUGGGGGAUAACGUCCGGAAACGGGCGCUAAUACCGCAUACGUCCUGAGGGAGAAAGUGGGGGAUCUUCGGACCUCACGCUAUCAGAUGAGCCUAGGUCGGAUUAGCUAGUUGGUGGGGUAAAGGCCUACCAAGGCGACGAUCCGUAACUGGUCUGAGAGGAUGAUCAGUCACACUGGAACUGAGACACGGUCCAGACUCCUACGGGAGGCAGCAGUGGGGAAUAUUGGACAAUGGGCGAAAGCCUGAUCCAGCCAUGCCGCGUGUGUGAAGAAGGUCUUCGGAUUGUAAAGCACUUUAAGUUGGGAGGAAGGGCAGUAAGUUAAUACCUUGCUGUUUUGACGUUACCAACAGAAUAAGCACCGGCUAACUUCGUGCCAGCAGCCGCGGUAAUACGAAGGGUGCAAGCGUUAAUCGGAAUUACUGGGCGUAAAGCGCGCGUAGGUGGUUCAGCAAGUUGGAUGUGAAAUCCCCGGGCUCAACCUGGGAACUGCAUCCAAAACUACUGAGCUAGAGUACGGUAGAGGGUGGUGGAAUUUCCUGUGUAGCGGUGAAAUGCGUAGAUAUAGGAAGGAACACCAGUGGCGAAGGCGACCACCUGGACUGAUACUGACACUGAGGUGCGAAAGCGUGGAGGAGCAAACAGGAUUAGAUACCCUGGCUAGUCCACGCCGUAUACGAUG
Molecule: ribosomal RNA, 766 nt
Filed under: Pseudomonas aeruginosa
Lineage: Bacteria; Pseudomonadati; Pseudomonadota; Gammaproteobacteria; Pseudomonadales; Pseudomonadaceae
Description: bacterial SSU rRNA
Rfam family: Bacterial small subunit ribosomal RNA
Source: RNAcentral